This 1043-nucleotide long non-coding RNA is filed under the name Numida meleagris (helmeted guineafowl). RNAcentral describes it as "lncRNA (ENSNMEG00000005721.1)". Lineage: Eukaryota; Metazoa; Chordata; Aves; Galliformes; Numididae. The record is from RNAcentral.
GCAAUGUGCUAGACUGCAGUGGCAACUCCCAGUCAAGUCUCUAUUUGUUUACAAGCCUUGUUGCCACAGGAGCCAGGUGCUUUCCAUGUUCAGCCCUGGCUCCUGCCAUGAGCAGCAUGUCCAGCCUGCAGGGGCUGCCAGCAGCCACUGACUAAUAGGACCGUCUUGACCCUGGUGACAGAAGGCAGUGUCUUGCUGAUCUGCAUAACCCUUGGCAAGCAGCAGCUGCAGAGCAGCAGAGGAGGGUCACUGCAUAGCUCUCACCCUUUGUUCAAGACAGUGCAGAUUGCAGAAGGUUUACGAGGAGCUAAGAGGAUUGCAAAAGAGCUGAAGACUUCUCUUUUAUCUAACCAACGUGUGGGCAGCGAAACUCCCUGAUAUGAAACCGGCUGCUUGCAACGGUGGGCACGGAGGAUCAUUUGUCAUUAUUGUGAGGGCUGAAACUCUGAAGAUAGAGCAGCUGUAAUUGAAAAAAGGUACCCAAACACCAACCACCUCACCCUGAGGAUGAGGCCAACCAGGGAAUCCUAGGAUAACACACACCUCAAGAUUGCCUUCACUCUUCAGUUUACAGCAGGACAGAAGAUGAAAACCAAGCAGCCAGUUGCUUUUCAAUUAGCAAGUCUUAUCAUCCGCAUCCCAUGAUUUAGAUUGAGAAGUGACUGUAAGCACAAGAUUUUGAACUAUUUGUUCUGCCAGCAUUGUACAAUUAAGAAUCUUGUUGCAUUAGAGUUUUUGAAAUAUGAAAAUAUGUUUCAUAUCAUAAAAUGAUGCAGCUGUCUUUAUAUUUCUUUUAAGGCGCUGGGGAAAAGGAAGAUGGUGCACAGUCCUGUUGGACACAGCAUCUUGCUGCCAACUAUGAAAUGCUAUGGAAAUGUUGGUAUGAAUUAAGGGUUUGUAAAUAUGAGAAAUUGAGGGGAAUGCUUCCUGCUGCCAAAAGCUCAUGCUAAGCAGAGGUAGAGACCCUUUUACUCCAGAAGAAUAAUUCCCAAACCCAGAGCCAUUCUGAAUUAUUUCACUGUUUUAAUUGGCUUUGGCAUGCA